Molecule: long non-coding RNA, 389 nt
Filed under: Mytilus galloprovincialis (Mediterranean mussel)
Lineage: Eukaryota; Metazoa; Mollusca; Bivalvia; Mytilida; Mytilidae
Source: RNAcentral
UUGAGAUCAAAUUACGCAUCAUUUUCAUUGUUCAAAACAAAUUACUUGAUGGAUGUUUAUACAAAUGAAAGGUGUGGAAAACAUAUUCUAGAUACUAUUUGGGUAUUUACCAGUAAUUCGAUGGCUUGAUGCUGGAAGGCCGUUUUAUCUUACGGUUAAUAAUGCAAAUUUUUAAAACACAUGCGAAGGAUUUAAUUGUUUCUAUGUAAAGUUUUUAAAAUGAUUCAUAUCUUGGACGCAUUAAUUUGGAAAAAAGUUAAAUUCUUCCAAAUAUCAAAGGAGAAGUGGAAUAUACCAAAGGUAUAUUCAAACUCAUGAUAUUCGAAGACAAACUAACAACGCCCCAAAAAACGAAAAACAACCGAAUGAUAAACAAGUCUACACAGUAC